GAAAUGCGAUACGUAGUGUGAAUUGCAGAAUUCAGUGAAUCAUCGAAUCUUUGAACGCACAUUGCGCCCUUUGGUAUUCCAAAGGGCAUGCCUGUUCGAGCGUCAUUUGUACCCUCAAGCUUUGCUUGGUGUUGGGCGUUUUUUGUCUUUGGCUCGCCCAAAGACUCGCCUUAAAACGAUUGGCAGCCGGCCUACUGGUUUCGCGGCGCAGCACAUUUUUGCGCUUGCAAUCAGCAAAAGAGGACGGCAAUCCAUCAAGACUCCUUCUCACGUUUGACCUCGGAUCAGGUAGGGAUACCCGCUGAACUUAAGC
Molecule: unclassified non-coding RNA, 313 nt
Filed under: plant metagenome
Description: partial contains 5.8S ribosomal RNA, internal transcribed spacer 2, and large subunit ribosomal RNA
Rfam family: 5.8S ribosomal RNA (bases 1-105)
Source: RNAcentral